UUUUGUACAUCUUACGUUUACUUUUUGUUUUAAUUUAAUGCAUCAGGUUGUCGAUGUGAGAUUCUGCUAAAUUUCUGUUCUUCUGGCUGUAAGAUCUGAAUGCUGUGACCACUAAUUUGUUGAACCAAGACUCUGAGGCUGAUAUGCAAUGUCACUUACAACAUUAAUCAGAUACUGCAUUUAAGAACACUGAACCGGACACGCAAACCGUGGAGGGGACUCCAUCCUUUCUGCAGGGCCGAGGAAAAAAUCUUGCCAGCAGAGGUCACUGACGCUCCAGUUUGCGAUUUAGCAGCAGCCCAGGCAGGAGGCCAAUCCCGGUUUUCCGUGUGCCAACAAACUCCCUUUGUGCCGAUUAGAACUACACUCCCGUGCCCCCUGGGGUGGAAGAGAUGAGGUAAGUGUUCUUGGAGCCACUUCUGCCCUCUGAUACCCUUAGGGU
This 442-nucleotide long non-coding RNA is filed under the name Lynx canadensis (Canada lynx). RNAcentral's name for it is "lncRNA (ENSLCNG00005016132.1)". Lineage: Eukaryota; Metazoa; Chordata; Mammalia; Carnivora; Felidae. The record is from RNAcentral.